UGGGUAACCUGCCUCAAAGAGGGGAAUAGCCUCCCGAAAGGGAGAUUAAUACCGCAUAAUAUGUUUAGGUCGCAUGACUUUAACAUCAAAGGAUUUUCUUUUAAGAAAUUCCACUUUGAGAUGGACCCGCGGCGCAUUAGCUAGUUGGUGAGGUAACGGCUCACCAAGGCAACGAUGCGUAGCCGACCUGAGAGGGUGAUCCGGCCACAUUGGAACUGAGACACGGUCCAGACUCCGUAGGGAG
RNAcentral lists this ribosomal RNA (244 nucleotides) under uncultured bacterium. RNAcentral describes it as "partial 16S ribosomal RNA". It matches the Rfam family "Bacterial small subunit ribosomal RNA", at positions 118 to 347 of the family's 1533-position model. The record is from RNAcentral.